CCUACGGGGGGCAGCAGUGGGGAAUAUUGCACAAUGGGCGCAAGCCUGAUGCAGCCAUGCCGCGUGUGUGAAGAAGGCCUUCGGGUUGUAAAGCACUUUCAGCGGGGAGGAAGGCGUUAAGGUUAAUAACCUUGGCGAUUGACGUUACCCGCAGAAGAAGCACCGGCUAACUCCGUGCCAGCAGCCGCAGUAAUACGGAGGGUGCAAGCGUUAAUCGGAAUUACUGGGCGUAAAGCGCACGCAGGCGGUCUGUCAAGUCGGAUGUGAAAUCCCCGGGCUCAACCUGGGAACUGCAUUCGAAACUGGCAGGCUAAAGUCUUGUAGAGGGGGGUAGAAUUCCAGGUGUAGCGGUGAAAUGCGUAGAGAUCUGGAGGAAUACCGGUGGCGAAGGCGGCCCCCUGGACAAAGACUGACGCUCAGGUGCGAAAGCGUGGGGAGCAAACAGGAUUAGAUACCCCAGUAGUC
Molecule: ribosomal RNA, 465 nt
Filed under: uncultured Klebsiella sp.
Lineage: Bacteria; Pseudomonadati; Pseudomonadota; Gammaproteobacteria; Enterobacterales; Enterobacteriaceae
Description: bacterial SSU rRNA
Rfam family: Bacterial small subunit ribosomal RNA
Source: RNAcentral